UCCGGUACACACUUAAUGCACAUCAAUGAGCUUGCAACUCACCAUGAACUUCACUACAGAGCCGAU
RNAcentral lists this transfer RNA (66 nucleotides) under Buthraupis montana. RNAcentral describes it as "tRNA-Cys". The record is from RNAcentral. Lineage: Eukaryota; Metazoa; Chordata; Aves; Passeriformes; Thraupidae.